RNAcentral lists this ribosomal RNA (491 nucleotides) under uncultured bacterium. RNAcentral describes it as "bacterial SSU rRNA". It matches the Rfam family "Bacterial small subunit ribosomal RNA", at positions 15 to 518 of the family's 1533-position model. The record is from RNAcentral.
GAUCAUGGCUCAGAACGAACGCUGGUGGCGUGUCUUAUACAUGCAAGUCGAGCGAGGCAGCAAUGCCGAGCGGCGAACGGGUGAGUAACGCGUAAGCAAUCUGCCCCAUAUCAGGAAAUACCCGUGCCAACGCGCGGUUAAUGUCCAGGAGAGUGGCCUUCCGCAUGGAGGGUUGACUAGAGAUUUAUCGGUAUGGGAUGAGCUUGCGUCCGAUUAGCUAGUUGGCGGGGCAACGGCCCACCGAGGCGACGAUCGGUAGCCGGCCUGAGAGGGUGAUCGGCCACAUUGGGACUGAGAUACGGCCCAGACUCCUACGGGAGGCAGCAGUAGGGAAUAUUGCACAAUGGGGGAAACCCUGAUGCAGCAACGCCACGUGUGGGAAGAAGCAUUUCGGUGUGUAAACCACUGUCAUGAGGGAAUAAGGCCCGCCUUCGGACGGGAUUGAAUGUACCUUGAGAGGAAGCACCGGCAAACUUCGUGCCAGCAGCGGC